Non-coding RNA from Loxodonta africana (African savanna elephant), 7066 nucleotides. Lineage: Eukaryota; Metazoa; Chordata; Mammalia; Proboscidea; Elephantidae. The record is from the annotation of a RefSeq genome assembly.
CAGGGGCAGCAAGAUGGUGCCACAGACCCUGUUCCUCAUGUCCCUGUUGCUCUGGGCCUCUGGUGCCAGUGGGGACAUCACAAUGACCCAGUCUACAGCUUUCCUGGCUGCGUCUCCAGGAGUAACAGUGACCAUCAACUGCAAGGCCAGCCAGAGUGUUUUUUCCAGCUCCGAUAAGAAAGACUAUUUAGCCUGGUACCAGCAGAAACCAGGACAGGCUCCUAAGCGGCUCAUCUACUAUGCAUCGACCAGGGCAUCUGGGGUCCCUGACCGGUUCAGUGGCAGUGGGUCUGGGACAGACUUCACUUUGACCAUCAGCAACUUCCAGGCUGAAGACACUGCGGUUUAUUACUGUCAACAAGGUUAUAAUACUCCACCCACGGUGCUUCAGCCUCGAACAAAAACCUCCUCCCGAGGGUUACAGGCCAGUGAGUCUUCACUGCACCAGCUGCUUCCUUUCUGCUCAGCCCUGAACAUGCACGCUUCCUUUGUCUGCCCCAAAGCCUGAAUCUCCUGACUAAUUCCUUGGAGUAUUUGUAGGUUUCAGGAGAAAAUUAAGGGAUGUGCCUUCUUCUGGAUCCACUUUCGUGAUAAAUUAAAGAAAAGAAAAUGCUCUAAAAAUCUUUUGUAGGCUUUGUCAGGAGUUCUCAUAUCACAGGAACCUGCAUGUUUCACAUGGAUAGAUCACAUGACUGAUUUGGAGAGGGUUCACUGUGCUUUAUACCCUGAAAGAUCAGUUCUCUCUUCCCUGUGCCUUCUUGACUAUGCAACAUUCCCAUUUUAUUUCCUUGUGUUCCUGGACUUUUUUCCUUUCUGUGCCAUUACCCCUCCUUACUCUGGGCCUAACCCAAUAUUAAGCCUGGACCCUUCAUAUUUAAAAUCUCCCUCACAGAAGGGAGUAUUUCUCUCUUCUGUUUUCCUUCCACGGAUCCUGUUUUCCAGCCACGUCUUCCUGAUCAACAUCAAUGAAGGCAUUUUCGUGCUCCAAGCUCCCAUUUUACUGCCUGUUCUCCUCUUUCCAUGUCUUUUAGUGGCGCUCGUUCUGUUAAAGGCCCGACUCAUUAAUCCUAUCACUCUACAAACAUGUGAUAGCUUUCCCAUGUUCUUUUUCAUUAGUUGUCAAUUCCUCUUUGCAUUAAUCCCUUGGGUGCCCAAGUUUAAUUUAGUGACUGCAGGAAAUCAUGGUUCUUUCUCGUUGUUAGUUGCCAUCUUGUGAGUCCAUGACUCAUGAAAAUUCAACGCACAAUAUUAUCUGAUUGUUGUGAUCCAUAGGGUUUUCCCUGGCUGAUUUCCCAGAACUAGGUCACCAGGCCUUUCUUUCUAGUCUGUAUUAGUCUGCAAGUGCUACUGAAGCCUGCUCAGCAUCACAGCAACACGUGUAGAGGAAGUACGGUGAGUGAGGCCCGUAGGUCCCUGCUACGGUGUAUGCUGAUGACAAUCCAAGUAGUGUUUCCUGUCAGUAUAGUUGAGAGUCUAACUGGCCCUGCAGCUAAUGGAGACUUUCCAACCUGGGAGACGGACAGAGAUUCUGGCACCUACUGAGGAGGAUCUGUCCUCUGGAACAUAAAAUGUCAGACACAUGAGGAUGAUCCAGAGAUACCGUGUAACCAGGGACACAAGAAACAUCAAACCAAUGGUCUCUAACUGGGACAAGUGGACAGGACUUGGUGGCUUGCAGCUUUUAUUACAUAUCUUAUUUCAAAAUGUAGACCUAUCUAAAUAGGAGGAUCACUCUGGAAGAAAAUUCCAUGUCUAGGAGAUGAAGCUUCUGGGGCAGAUAGAGGAAGUGUGCAUGUUCGGGACUGUGUGGAAAGGAAGCAGCUGGUGCAGUGAAGACUCACAGGCCUCCAGCCCUGGGGAAGAGCUUCCGUUUGAGGCUGAAACAGUGUGAGAGGUUAAACAUAAUGUUCCUAACAGCAAUAAUCUGCCAUGUCUUCAGUCUGGAGGCUGCUGAUUGUGACGGAUCCACUGCCACUAAACAGGUCAGGGAUCUCAGACGCCUAGUUGGAUGCAAAGGAGAUAAACAGCUUUGGAGCCUGUCCCAGUUUUUGCUUAUACCAGGCCAAGACAGUGCUAACACUCUGGCUGGACUUGCACUGAUGGUGAUCAUUCUUCUGAAGACAUGGUCAGGGAGACAGGAGACUGUGUUAUCACAAUGUCUCUACUGACACCUGCAAUCAGAGAGGGCAAUUACCAUACAUACAUGUAUACACACACUUUUUCAUAGACACCUUAAAAUAUACCAUUUUAAAUGGGCAUUUUAGCCGAAUAUGUGUCACAUAUAAUUGAGUCAUUUUUGGAAAUAGCCAUCAUUUUCCACUACAUCUUAAAUCAUUUUUCACCUCUACAAAGAUACUUCUUUAAAGGGAUUGAGGCAAUGUUCAUUUCUCACCAGAGACCCAGAGCAACAGGAACAUGAGGACAGGAGCUUGUAACACCAUCUUGCUGCCUCCACCUGCCUGAUAAAGAUCAGUGCACAUUGCAAAGUCCCCAUUGAUAAAAUCUGAGCUGCCAGACUGGGCCUGGAGAAUCUACGCAAAGCCAUCAUUGAAUGUGGAAGCAAAGUACAUAGGCAGUGGGUUGUGAAAGGAACUGAUGUAAAUCAAGAUCUAAUUACUAGAAAAGACAAAGUAGGCAUCUUAGAAGCUCUCAUAUCAACAUAUAAACUCUAAAACUACAAGCAGUAGCUUCUCUUAAGAGCUUCUAUUUAAAAUAAGAAAAAAAAUUGAAAUGGGUUCAGGGCCCACAAAUGAUAUGCUAGUUUCCUGAUUUCUGCAAUCCUGGUGAAAUAAUACAAAAUGCUGGAAAUAUAUAAAAGAGAUUGAGGAGUAAAGAAGAGAUGACAAUGGAGAAAUUUUGGUUAACUUUUUGAUAAAAAUUUAUGGCCAGAAAAUGUCUGAGCUCUAAACCCAAUUUUAUCUUGAAGGACAGUUGAAGUCACUGUAUAUGCUAAUGAAUUACUUCUAGAGAUAUGUAAAAUCCAGGAAAAUGGAAGACAGACCCAGAAAUUACCAAUGUGAGGAGUCCUGAGGAACCCUAUGUUGCACUAGGGCCAAGGGAUUGGUGGCUCUAAUCUCAAAGACAGUAUGAACCAGAGAAACUAAACGUAUCCUUCUCACAGCUGCUAGAAAAUGAUCAAAGGGCUCUAGCGUCAUUGUGGAAAUGGACAGGGAAUAAUAAGCAAAAUUUCCUUGGGAAGUUGUGUCUGGAAGUCAACCUUCCAAGGAGUUUCACUCCAGCUAUGUAUGGCCUAGGUGUGUCUGGAACUCUCCAACCUUGAAAUUAGUUUAAGAAGGCCCAAUCAAUAGAAAGCUGACCUAAAAGAGGGCACACCCAUCAUAAAUCCUCAGGGCACCUGACAAACAAUUUUUCAUACACUGAUACCACGAAGAAGUCAGAGAUCCUUGACAUCCAAGAAAAUAAGAUAACUAAGAUAUGAAUAUGAAUGUGAAGCUACUGAAAUAACAGAGAACAAAAGGUGUUCUCCUCACACUUUAGAUUUGGAGGCUAUGUGAGUUUAUUUAAAGAAAUAAAUGAUAAACUUUACAUUGUAUGCAAGACAUGGAAACUAAACGCAGGGUACUACACAUCUGAAAAACAAAAAAUCCAGAAAUUAGAUGCAGAAUACACUUCUAUUAGUUUGUCGUACCGUAGGGGCUUGCAUAUUGCUGUAAUGCUGGUAGCUAUGCCACCAAUAUACAAAUACCAGGUGGGUCACCACAGUGGGCCUGGUUUCAGUUGAGCUUCUAGAGUAAGAAAGACUAGGACGAAGGACCUGGUGGUCUGCUUCUGAAAGAAUUAGCCAGUAAAAGCCUUAUUAAUAGCAGCAGAACAAUGUCUGUUUCACUGCCAGAAGAUGAGCCCCUCAUGUCGGAAGGCACUCAGAAGAUGAGUGGGGGAGAGCUGCCUCCUUAAAGUAGAGUUGACCUUAAUGCUGUGCAUGAAGUCUAGCUUUUGGGACAUUUGCGUGCUGAUAUGGCGUGACUCAAAGUGAGAAGAACCAGGUAAACAUCCUUUGUUAAUGGAAAUGUACAAUGCACGAUCUAUAAGUAGGAAAUGAGAAAUUGUCAGAAAUGAAAUAGAAUACCUAAAGAUCAAUAUCCUAGGCAUUAGUCAGCCAAAAUGGACUCAUAUUGGUCAUUUUGAGUUGGAAAAUCAUAUGAUCUACUAUGCCAGGAAUGAUAACUUGAAGAGGAAUGGUGUUGCAUUUAUCAUCAAGAAGAACAAUUCAAAAUCUAUCCUGAAGUACAACGUUGACAGUGAUAGAAUAACAUCUACACGUAUACGAGUAAGACCAGUUAAUGUGAGUAUUAUUCAAAUUUACCCACUAACCACUAAGGCCAAAGAUGAAGAAAUAGAAGAUUUUUACCAAGUUCUGCAGUCUGAAAUUGAUCGAAUAUGCAAUCAGUAUGGUGAUAGGAAUGUGAAAGUUGGAAACAAAGAGGAAGGAUUAGUAUUUGAAAAGUAUGGCUUUGGUGAUAGAAAGGAUGCCAGAGAUUGCAUGAUUUAGGGAGGAUGAAAAGAGAUGGUCCGGGUUUGGUGACUAUAUAGAAGUAUUUCAAUGAGCCUUAAGGUAAAGGAGAAGAGUGAAACAGGACGUAACUGGAGGGAGAUGUGAAAUCUGGACAGUUUUUUAAAAAGAUGUUUCGUGCUGACGGAAAUGAUGCUAAAGUGAGGAGAACAGAUAGUAACAGAUAGUUGAGAAAAGAGAGGUGAGAAAUGCCAAGAUACCCUUGGAAGGGACAGUGGUAUAGGAACAGAGGGACUGGCCUCAGGUAGGAGGGCUGUCUGCUCAUCUACAGUAACAGGAAGAAAGGAAGGCAGAACAUGGGGAUGUAGAUGCCUGUGGAUCAGAAGAUACAUGAGAGGAGCUAGUGGAAGCUCUUCUAAGAAACAGGAAAUGAGGUCAUGUGCUUGGCAUUUCACAAACUGAAAGAACUGAAGAAAAAAUUCAAGCCUUGAGUUGCAAUAGUGAAACAUUCCAUGGGGAAAAUAUUAAAUGGCACAGGAAGCAUCAGAAGAAGAUGGAAGGAAUACACAGAGUCAUUACACCAAAAAGAAUUUGUUGAUAUUCAAACAUUUCAAGAGGUGGUAUAUGAUCAGGAACUGAUGGUACUGAAGGGAGAAGUCUAAGCUGCUCUGAAGGCAUUGGCGAAAACAAGGCUCCAGGAAUUGAUUGAAUAUCAAUUGAGAUGUUUCAACAAACAGAUGCAAUGCUGGAGGUGCUCACUCGUCUAUGCCAAGAAAUAUGGAAGACAGCUUCCUGGCCAACUGACUGGAAGGGAUCCAUAUUUAUGCUUAUUCCCAAGAAACGUGAUCCAACCGAAUGUGGAAAUUAUAGAACAAUAUGAUUAAUAUCACAUGCAAGCAAAAUUUUGCUGAAGAUCAUUCAAAAACGGCUGCAGCAGUGUAUCGACAGGGAACUGCCAGAAAUUCAGGCUGGUUUCAGAAGAGGACAUGGAACCAGGGAUAUCACUGCUGUCAGAUGGAUCCUGGCUGAAAGCAGAGAAUACCAGAAGGAUGUUUACCUGUGUUUUACUGACUAGGCAAAGGCAUUUGACUGUGUGGAUCAUAACAAACUGUGGAUAACAGUGCGAGGAGUGGGAGUUCCAGAACACUUAUUUAUGCUCAUGGGGAACCUUUACACAGAUCAAGAGGCAGUUGUUUUGGACAGAAGAAGGGGAUACUGAUUGGUAUAAAGUCAGGAAAGGUGUGCCUCAUGAUUGUAUUCUUUCACCACAUCUAUUUAAUCUGUUUGCUGAACAAAUAAUCUGAGAAGCUGGACUAUAUGAAGAAGAAUGGGGCAUCAUGAUUGGAGGAAAACUCAUUAACAACCUGCAUUAUGCAGAUGACACAACCUUGCUUGCUGAAUGUGAAGAGGACUUGAAGCACUUACUAAUGAAAAUCAAAGACCACAGCCUUCAGUAUGGAUUACUCCGCAACAUAAAGAAAACAAAAAUCCUCACAACUGGGCCAACGAGCAACAUCAUUAUAAAUAGAGAAAAGAUUGAAGUUGUCAAGGAUUUCAUUUUACUUGGAUCCACAAUCAACAGCCAUGGAAGCAGCAGUCAAGAAGAUGCAUUGCAUUGGAAAAAUCUACUGCAAAGGACCUCUUCAAAGUGUUGAAGAGCAAAGAUGUCACCCUGAAGACUAUGGUGUGCCUGACCCAAGCCAUGGUAUUUUCAAUCGCAUCAUAUGCAUGUGAAAGCUGGACAAUGAAUAAGGAAGACCGAAGAAGAGUUGAUGCCUUUGAAUUGUGGUGUUGGCGAAGAAUAUUGAAUAUACCAUGGACUGCCAAAAGAACAAACAAAUCUGUCUUGGAAGAAGUGCGGUCAGAAUGCUCCUUAGAGGAAAGGAUGGUGAUACUGCAUCUUACAUACUUUGGACAUGGUGUCAGGAGGGAUGAGUACCUGGAGAAGGACAUCGUGCUUGGCAGAGUAGAGGGUCAGUGGAAAAGAGGAAGACACUCAACAAGGUGGAUUGGCACAGUGGCUGAAACAAUGAGCUCAAGCAUAACAAUGGUUGUAAGGAUGGUGCAGGAUCAGGCAGUUUUUCAUUCUGUAGUGCAUAGGGUUGCUAUGAGUCGGAGCCGACUUGAUGGCAUCUAACAACAACGACAACAAAGAAUGAGAAGUAGCUGUUAAAACUUGAAGAGAAAAGAAAAGAGAAAGGGUGCAGACUGAAUGAACCAGGUAAAUGAAAUACAAUUGUGAGGCAGGAUUAAGGGCUGUCCUGAGGUAGUGUGCGUAAAUUUAUGGUGAGAUGAAUCAGAAGAAUUAUGUGUUUUUCUCCUGCCACAUUAGGGCCAUGGAAGCACAUAUGUGGAGCGUGGAGUUCUUCCUAGGGUUUAAAUUUUUGGUAUAAUGACUCUGUGUAUUUCUUCCAUCUUCUUUUGAUGCUUCCUGCAUCAUUUAAUAUUUUCAACAUAGAAUCCUUCACUAUUGCAACUCCAGGCUUGAAUUUUUUUCCUCGAUUCUUUCAGCUUGAGAAACACCGAGCGUGUUCUUCCCUUUUGGUUUACCAUCACCAGCUCUUUGCAUAGGUCAUUGUAAUACUUUACUUUGUC